This 400-nucleotide ribosomal RNA is filed under the name uncultured bacterium. Its description in RNAcentral is "partial 16S ribosomal RNA". It matches the Rfam family "Bacterial small subunit ribosomal RNA", at positions 338 to 735 of the family's 1533-position model. The record is from RNAcentral.
CCUACGGGUGGCAGCAGUGAGGAAUAUUGGUCAAUGGACGCAAGUCUGAACCAGCCAUGCCGCGUGCAGGAAGACGGCUCUAUGAGUUGUAAACUGCUUUUGUACGUGGGUAAACUCCGAUACGCGUAUCUUUCUGCAUGUACCUUACGAUUAAGGAUCGGCUAACUCCGUGCCAGCAGCCGCGGUAAUACGGAGGAUUCAAGCGUUAUCCGGAUUUAUUGGGUUUAAAGGGUGCGUAGGCGGUCGGUUAAGUUAGCGGUGAAAUCCCGGGGCUCAACUUCGGAAUUGCCUCUGAUACUGUUAGGCUAGAGGGUAGUUGCGGUAGGCGGAAUGUAUGGUGUAGCGGUGAAAUGCUUAGAGAUCAUGCAGAACACCGAUUGCGAAGGCAGCUUACCAAGCU